Molecule: transfer RNA, 74 nt
Filed under: Gimesia panareensis
Lineage: Bacteria; Pseudomonadati; Planctomycetota; Planctomycetia; Planctomycetales; Planctomycetaceae
Description: tRNA-Thr
Rfam family: tRNA
About the family: Transfer RNA (tRNA) molecules are approximately 80 nucleotides in length. Their secondary structure includes four short double-helical elements and three loops (D, anti-codon, and T loops). Further hydrogen bonds mediate the characteristic L-shaped molecular structure. tRNAs have two regions of fundamental functional importance: the anti-codon, which is responsible for specific mRNA codon recognition, and the 3' end, to which the tRNAs corresponding amino acid is attached (by aminoacyl-tRNA synthetases). tRNAs cope with the degeneracy of the genetic code in two manners: having more than one tRNA (with a specific anti-codon) for a particular amino acid; and 'wobble' base-pairing, i.e. permitting non-standard base-pairing at the 3rd anti-codon position.
Source: RNAcentral
GCACUGGUCGUCUAAUCUGGAAAGACGUCGCCUUCGUAACGCGGUCAUGUGGGUUCAAGUCCCACCUGGUGCUC